Podarcis raffonei (Aeolian wall lizard) is the source of this 3352-nucleotide long non-coding RNA. RefSeq lists it as uncharacterized. The transcript has 2 exons. The record is from RefSeq and is a predicted model, not a curated record. Lineage: Eukaryota; Metazoa; Chordata; Lepidosauria; Squamata; Lacertidae.
CAUCCAUCCCCCCCCCAGCUAGCCCCACCCCAAUGCACCCCCCCUUUCAGAUCUCCUGUCUGGAGACAUGUUUUCUCCCCCACCCCCCUCCGCCCACUCCUCAAUCUAUUCUCUUAUCAAAAGGGUGUGCCUGUUGUCACACACACACACACGCACCAAUUUCUGUCUGCUUUUGCCACAAUGGUUUGAAAAUUCCGCUUUGUCAGUCGCUUUGAUCUCUAUCUCUCCGCGUGCCUUGCUGGAAGAGAGGAGGGGCGGGUGGAUUAGCUUCCAUCAGGUUAAUCUUAGUUUAAUGGCUUCAUUUGUUUAUUAGGUUAAUGCUUGUGACCUGACUGGGAUCGUAUGGAUGCUGUUAAGGCGUCCACGUGAAUGUCAGGACAUCAAUAGCAGCAGGGGUAGUUCUGAACCACAAAUUGUGUGUGUGUGUGUGAGAGAGAGAGAUUUAGACACAGAAACAUAAUUUUUUCUUACAUAUCAAAAGAUUUAUUAUUUUAUUAUUAUUAAUCUAUUCAUAGCCUUCUACACAAUUGUCUCAAGGCGAUGUACAAUAAAGAACAGAAACAGCAGGAUAAAGGCAGUUGCGUUUAAAGGGUGUUAGAUUAUGCGAGAUUUGGAGAGGAAUUGCUUUUUUUAUUGUGCACAGAGCCAUAUAAAUAGAUGUUAAUAAUAAUAAAACAAAAUAAGAAGGAUACAAAACAGGCACUCAUGGGCAAAGGCUCAUUUAGCCAGCUGGAAAAGCCUGUUGGAACAAAAAUGGAAUAAUGAAGUGCAAGUGCAUGUUUGUAUCCAAUGUCAGUCCUACUCAGAGUAAACCCAUUAAGAUAAAGAGGCAUGAUUCACUUGCGUCCAUUGAUUUCCAUGGGUUUACUCAAAGUAGAACUUAGUUGGUGCAAGCCAUUAUUUAUGAUGUAAUAUAUUGAUAAAAGUAUGUAUGAAAUUUCAAUAACCAUGAAUGAAACUCAGUUUACUACGGCCCAAAAAUGCACUGUGAGUCUCUGUACACAGACGCAUGCUUGCUUAUUUCACCCGAUAAAAUAUAUGCAUGUAUACAAAUAUGCUAGUCCAGAUAGCCACAAAUAUGGAUGUCAUAUCAGGCAGAUGGAUACAUUUUUCAUUGCGUCAACUGCAUCAUGUAUAUAUAUGAAUUGUGUGUGUGUGUUGGUGAUGGUAAUGAUAUGUGCUGAAUCAUUUUGUCUGUGUACAGACAUUUUGGAAGAACGUAUGCUUUCUAAUGUAUACACAAAUUUUGUCUGUCUGUGUAUAUGUGACGUAUACACACAAAACUGAAGCCACUUUGGUUAAAGGAGGAGUCUCGUGGAGCUUUCCAGUUAAGUGGGGUGGGGGGCUAUUUCUCCAAAACAAGCAAACAAACACCCCUCCCCAUCACUCCACUUCUACCCCAAUCCAAUCGCAAAGUCUCAUUGCAUCCUUCUUCUGCCAUUCUGCAACAGGUAUGUUUGUCCGAUUUAAAUAUGAUUUCCAAAUCUAGAGAGGGCAAAACUCUAGGGUGGUGAGGAGGAAGUGAGAUAUUUAUUUUUUAAAAGGGGAAGGGUCAGCAUGUAACCCUGGCGCUUCUCGUACUGUGAUUCAUCUGGUUCUGGGGAGGGGCUUUGUUGUGUUUGGGAUGUUGUCACCCUUUGCCUUGGUUUAGAUACACAUCAUGGUAUUGUUUUUAAUCCUGAUUAUUGACUCCGGAUAAACUUCCCUUAAUCCCCUUCACUAUCAGCUAACAAGGUACUCGGAUUUCAACUCUAAGCAGAUUGUGGUUUAAAAAUGAAGAUUAGAGCAAUGCCCCCAAAGCAACAAUUGCUUAUCUUAACUAUAUCUGCAUUUAUUCUUGAGAAAGAUGCCCCUUUUUGUUCUGCAGGGGCGCCUAUAAUCCAAUUAAUUAAUUAAUUAAUUAAUUAAUUAAUUGUGUAUCUGUACUGCCCUAUACCCGCAGGUCUCAGGGCGGUUACAACAUAAAAACACAAACUGCAAAAAAUACAGCAUGCUUUUCACUGCAUCACAUCAGGCAGAUAUCCAACAGGCUAUUAUCCUGGAAUAAGAGACGGUUGGUCAGUUUCUUUGUAGCUUUUUUAAUAAAUAAAAAAAUCAGAGACCCUGCUCACAGUGGAUUGGGAGAAACUGGGAUUUGGAUGGGCAUAAUCUCUGCUACCAACACCCCGCAGGGCUUUCUCCUCUCUGCAUAGUGAAAUGCACAAAUGAAAGGCAGACUCUCGCCAAGUGCUGGAUCUGUGUUUUAAUCUCAAGGUCCCAGCAUUGCCUAAGCAGGAGACUGGAAACAAGCUUAUACCGUGUGAUCAAAUGCCAUUUUUUUUUAAAAAGACCUCUGUGGCUUUAAGAUACAAGACUCUUGGCGGGGGUGGGGGGAGUUGGACCACGUGGUUUGGGCCCCAACAGAAGCUUAAUUCAGCCACUUCCUGCCAGAGUUGGGGGAAGCAGCAGCAGCAGCUGCAAGGCACACUUCUGAACAUAGGAAGUUUGAGUCAGAUCGUUGGCUAGUAUAGGCCAGAUUGGCAGCAGCUCUUUGGCAUUUUGGGCAGAGAUUCCUGCCCCCACCACUUGCUUUUCGAGAUCUUUUAAAUUGAAGAACCUAGGACCCCGGGAAACUGAGGCCAUUUUGCAUUCUGCAUUAUGUGCUCCUGGAUGCAAAUUCAAAUCGCAUUUCUGCACAUUUUACGAUUGCUCCCCAUUUCCUCUGCAGGCUAAUCCUCAGUGUGGCUUCCUUCCUUGGAACCUAAAUCUUCUCCAGAACGAGAGGUUGCGUUUUGAAAACAUCAGCAUCUGUGGCCUGCCUUCCUUGAAGGUGUGGGACCUUGGCAGACAGUCAAACAUGUCUCCUUUGAGCGCUGCCUCUGGUCAGAUGUUUACAUUCAGCCUCGUAAUCUGACAUGAUUCAUUGUUUUAAGCGAAUGAAUCAAACUUCACUGAACGACGGGGGUAUUAUUAUUUUUAUUUCUCUAUUUAUUUGGCUUGGACAGCUGAAGAUCCCUGAUGAAAUUCUUCAGAUACUGCACCGCCAGAAUCCUCUGCUCAUUUAUUUGAGGUUUUCCCCCUGAUGACCAUCUCCUGUGGAUCGUGGCCCUGGGGUGCGUGUGUCUAGUCGAUGGAAUUGGAUUCGGCAUCCAGCCCCUCUUGCACAGAAAGUGUCAAACGGAGGAAGAUGAACUAGGCGUUGCGGGAGUAAACGUUGCCAUCUUGUCAAGACUAAAAUAAACUCCCUGUUAAUAAACGAGGUUGGGGAUUGGAAGAGAGCUUUUCGCCAUAAAAGGAGCCGAACGCUAAAAUUAUUGCCCCUGGAACCAUCGUGGGAGUAAAGAAAUUGUUUGUAUUAAAAAAAGGAAUGGUG